RNAcentral lists this long non-coding RNA (2287 nucleotides) under Bemisia tabaci. Its description in RNAcentral is "lncRNA ENSSSA1UGG008053". Lineage: Eukaryota; Metazoa; Arthropoda; Insecta; Hemiptera; Aleyrodidae. The record is from RNAcentral.
GAGGGUUGUCAGUUAACUACUUGUCGAAGAGAAACUAGGUUUUGCCACGGUAGAGGUUGAUUUUCCAUCAAAAGGGCCCCCUUACCAAAUCGUCGAUUCUAGUUGAAAUUUCUUCGUGAGAUAUGGCGACGUGUCUCAUGUGGUAAGCGAGCAUAAGCUCAAUUCAAUUCCGAUGUUGAUGAGAUUACUCUUGACUGUUGUGCUUUUGCCAGCUUCAGGUGCAGUCUCAGAUGAGUGUGCGAGUAGGUAAAUGUCACGCUAUGUGCAACUUCAAAGCUCCCGACCUGGCUGAGGAUGCUCCCUCCCUCCAACUCCAUUUGCAACGUGCUCGCUCUAAGGUGCCAUGUAGAGCCCGCCUUAAGGACAUUUUACUGAUAAUCAUGAAACUACUUGUUUGUUUUAAUGGUGACCAAAAAAAAAAAAUCAUGAUUUAAACAUACACACAAGCAGGCAGGUUAAGCAUCAUGGACACUUAUAUAACAAUGUCAAGUAUUGGUCAACUCUAAAUCAUUUCAAAAACAAUUUUGCAGAAGGCUUUGGAUCUCCAGUGCAGCUUCGAUCAUGCAAGCGGAUAACUUGAUUUUAUUGGCGGAACCAUAUGCGCCCCGUUUCAAGAGCAAAUUCUGACAGACCGAAAUUCUCUGUCGUUGGUUGCCAAAUUUUCUAUAAGUUCUUUUUUGUAUGCACCACGAAUGUUGGUAGAAAAGAAUCAAUGGUACUUUUUUUUCCUUUCGAGGAAUUCCAUGACUUUAAUAUCAUUGGCGUGGCGUGCUUUGCGAUUUAUUGAUUGCUCGGUCAUUUAAACCUACGGAAAAGGAUGGAUAAACAGAAAACACGGUAAUCGCAUCGAACACCUAAAUAAUCGAUUCCUCACCACAGCUUCAAAUGAGUAGAUAUCGAUAAUCGAACACUUACGCCUCGCCAUUGAGUAAUAUCGUUGUGAAAGCAAAAUUGCAGGGUUUAACAAGGAAAAUGAAAUCAAAACUUUUAUAUAAAUAGCUCACGAUUACUAAUCACAAUGGCUAUUAUUAUUAUCAUUACCUACUCGUAGAAAGUGCACUGAAAUUAGAUUCACUAGCAUUUGUUCGGUUUAACCAUUUAGAAUCAGUACACACCAAAAAAUAUCUAUAUCACAUGUCGAAAAAAAAACUACAUUUAGAAUGUGAUGCGCAAACUCUAAGAAUCUACCUUGAAACCGAAAAAUCAGUUGAUUUUUGCAUACGAAAUUUCUUAACUACCUCAUAAGUUAAAUGGAAGUUGCAGGUUGGCAACUCCGUCAAGAUGUGUGUCAACUAAAAAACAAAACAAGGGUUCACGGCAAAUUGCGCGAUGACGAAAUCAAUAUCCAUCCGUUUCGGAUCAUUAAGGGAUUAUUUAUGGCCCAUGCGUUCGAAUACUAAUAAAUUGGGAUAACCCCCAUGGGUUCCCCUGCCAAAAUCAACAACAAAGCUCCAGUAGGGUGCCUUCUUCAAUUAAUUUAAACUUGUAUAAAUCUCAAUUCCUCGGAUUGGCCAUAUCAUCGAGAUCAUAUUUAACCUCACGCUUAUUGCAGAGUUAACGCCUUGAUAAUGUUUAAAGUCUCAUGAAUGAAAUGUAUUAUUCUGGUACAAUUGUCAUGUGAGAGUCUUGGCAGUGACAUUACUCGGAAAUAUUUCUCGGAUAUACUUACCCAUGACGAAUACCUACUAAGAAGAAAAAUUUAAUUAAUCACGAAUGUCAAGAAUAUUGAUUGAAUUUUCUGCUCGAGGACUUAGAAUUCAAGACAAGAUAGUAUUCCAAACCAAGAUGAAGGAAACUGAGUACAUAUGUAGGUAUUAUGAGCAUCUUCAGUUCAGCUGUUCUUUUUCGAAGUAGGUGGGAGUUAAAAACUCUGGUUUCAUUGUGUGUCAAUUUUAGAAGUAUAGUUUUUACAGCACACACAAAAUCUGGAUCUAUUAAAUAAGAAAAUAGUUUCCUCGGCAGUUUCUUACUAAGCCGAGGAAAAUAUAUUUUGCCUGAUGGGAAUAACUCCAUGGAAUUAAGUAUAGUUAAUUUUAGUUAAUAAUUAAUAAGUUUUCUGAAUGACCACAUCGCAAUUUUUAGUAGGGAGAAAUCUGCUGCCCAUGUUAAUCACGACUUACUCAUUGAUUGCAAAAAAGUUUUGCUUUAAGAAAAUGAAAAUACUGUCAAAGAAUUGUGGGUACCAAUAAUUGUCCUUGGUGAUGAACAAGUGGUACAGAUGGUGUCGAUGGUGAAUUUAGGAAACCUUGUAUCACGUUAUACGAUGUUGCAAACCGCCUGCACAAUU